RNAcentral lists this ribosomal RNA (464 nucleotides) under uncultured bacterium. RNAcentral describes it as "partial 16S ribosomal RNA". It matches the Rfam family "Bacterial small subunit ribosomal RNA", at positions 331 to 792 of the family's 1533-position model. The record is from RNAcentral.
CCAGACUCCUACGGGAGGCAGCAGUGAGGAAUAUUGGUCAAUGGGCGCGAGCCUGAACCAGCCAAGUCGCGUGAGGGAUGACGGCCCUACGGGUUGUAAACCUCUUUUGCCGGGGAGCAACGGGCGCCACGUGUGGCGCCACUGAGAGUACCCGGAGAAAAAGCAUCGGCUAACUCCGUGCCAGCAGCCGCGGUAAUACGGAGGAUGCGAGCGUUAUCCGGAUUUAUUGGGUUUAAAGGGUGCGUAGGCGGACUGUAAAGUCGGCGGUAAAAGCCGGGGCCCCACCCCCGGCGAGCCGUUGAAACUGGCUGUCUUGAGAUGUCGAGAGGUAUGCGGAAUGCGCAGUGUAGCGGUGAAAUGCUUAGAUAUUGCGCAGAACUCCGAUUGCGAAGGCAGCAUACCGGCGGCGAUCUGACGCUGAGGCACGAAAGCGUGGGUAUCGAACAGGAUUAGAUACCCUAGUA